GGCCUUGUAGCUCAGCCGGUAGAGCGUGCGCUGUACAAAGCAUAAGAGGCGUCCCUGCGUGGGUUCGAAUACCAUCUAGGCUA
Molecule: transfer RNA, 83 nt
Filed under: Echinostoma caproni
Lineage: Eukaryota; Metazoa; Platyhelminthes; Trematoda; Plagiorchiida; Echinostomatidae
Rfam family: tRNA
About the family: Transfer RNA (tRNA) molecules are approximately 80 nucleotides in length. Their secondary structure includes four short double-helical elements and three loops (D, anti-codon, and T loops).
Source: Rfam by way of RNAcentral